RNAcentral lists this ribosomal RNA (1128 nucleotides) under Salmonella enterica subsp. enterica serovar Coeln. Its description in RNAcentral is "partial 23S ribosomal RNA". It matches the Rfam family "Bacterial large subunit ribosomal RNA", at positions 161 to 1190 of the family's 2925-position model. Lineage: Bacteria; Pseudomonadati; Pseudomonadota; Gammaproteobacteria; Enterobacterales; Enterobacteriaceae. The record is from RNAcentral.
AAUCCAUAGGUUAAUGAGGCGAACCGGGGGAACUGAAACAUCUAAGUACCCCGAGGAAAAGAAAUCAACCGAGAUUCCCCCAGUAGCGGCGAGCGAACGGGGAGGAGCCCAGAGCCUGAAUCAGCAUGUGUGUUAGUGGAAGCGUCUGGAAAGGCGCGCGAUACAGGGUGACAGCCCCGUACACAAAAGCGCAUGUGCUGUGAGCUCGAUGAGUAGGGCGGGACACGUGGUAUCCUGUCUGAAUAUGGGGGGACCAUCCUCCAAGGCUAAAUACUCCUGACUGACCGAUAGUGAACCAGUACCGUGAGGGAAAGGCGAAAAGAACCCCGGCGAGGGGAGUGAAAAAGAACCUGAAACCGUGUACGUACAAGCAGUGGGAGCCCCACCACCAAAGCAUUUGCUGUACCGCGUUGACGGAGCGAAGCGACGUCAAACCGAUAAAACAGCAGUGUAAAGUGAGCCGCAGGGCGCUUUGCGCGACAGCGCAAAGGCAGGCGGUUUCGCGUAGCGAAAGCGAAUGCUUUGGGGUGGGGUGACUGCGUACCUUUUGUAUAAUGGGUCAGCGACUUAUAUUCUGUAGCAAGGUUAACCGUAUAGGGGAGCCGUAGGGAAACCGAGUCUUAACCGGGCGUUAAGUUGCAGGGUAUAGACCCGAAACCCGGUGAUCUAGCCAUGGGCAGGUUGAAGGUUGGGUAACACUAACUGGAGGACCGAACCGACUAAUGUUGAAAAAUUAGCGGAUGACCUGUGGCUGGGGGUGAAAGGCCAAUCAAACCGGGAGAUAGCUGGUUCUCCCCGAAAGCUAUUUAGGUAGCGCCUCGUGAAUUCAUCUCCGGGGGUAGAGCACUGUUUCGGCUAGGGGGCCAUCCCGGCUUACCAACCCGAUGCAAACUGCGAAUACCGGAGAAUGUUAUCACGGGAGACACACGGCGGGUGCUAACGUCCGUCGUGAAGAGGGAAACAACCCAGACCGCCAGCUAAGGUCCCAAAGUCAUGGUUAAGUGGGAAACGAUGUGGGAAGGCCCAGACAGCCAGGAUGUUGGCUUAGAAGCAGCCAUCAUUUAAAGAAAGCGUAAUAGCUCACUGGUCGAGUCGGCCUGCGCGGAAGAUGUAACGGGGCUAAACCAU